Molecule: ribosomal RNA, 414 nt
Filed under: Triticum aestivum (bread wheat)
Lineage: Eukaryota; Viridiplantae; Streptophyta; Magnoliopsida; Poales; Poaceae
Description: partial small subunit ribosomal RNA
Source: RNAcentral
AUGCCACAAGUUAAACCUAGUAAAAAGAGUAAGAAAGAUUCUUCUUCUAGUAGUAACAAUAACCAUGCUAAAUCCAAUAUUGUUUCUUUUAAUAAUUCUCUUGAUUCCACUAAUGAUUCUCUUAGCCAAGUUACACUUGAGCAAGAAAAUAGCUUAUUGAAGAGAAUUAUAGAGAAAGGUGUUUACAAGAGUCUUGCCGGGUGUAAGCAAUUCGAAGAAAUUGUACGCAAGGAAGGAAGACACCGGAAGAAUCAAGGUGUUGGUUUUGAACGAAAGUUCAAUGCCAAUGGAUUUGAGUGGGAAGAAGAUCAAUACCCCAAGAUGAAGUUUGUUCUUCAACAAGAUAAGUAUGACCCCACUUCUUUUGAGGGACACAAGCUCAAGAUGAUCUUCCACCACAAGACCACAAGCUAA